UUAGUUUCAAUGGCUUGAUGUGAUUACUCAGGAGGCCAAGUCAAACAUCAAGAAAUCCUACAGGUUUCACAGUAAGUUAAAAAUAAGAGACAUCUGCUAAAAUUAAAAAAGUUUAGGUAGGAGUAGAUAAUAUGCUUUCCACAAUGAAAAUCUAUUUAACCUACAUACAUAUCUGUUAUUAAUUUAAUACUUGAGAUAAAUAUUUUUUAUUUUCAUUUGUCUUAUACAUCUUGGGUCCCCAGGGUGUGAAUAGUAACUGAAACAUGCUUCUGUCAGUAGAAAGCCACAGUGUGUAAAGGACACAAAGGUAAGGCUCUGCAAACUUAGUUACAAAAUCUAGUAUCACAAAGUUAUAUUUAGGGAAACUUUCUUCAUAGAGCUAAUGUCUAGCUUAAUGCCAAGAUCUGCAAAACACGUUUAGUCUCAAGUCCCUUUAAGAAACAAGGUUAUAUGAGCAUUAGCUAAAAUGAAUCACACUCCUAAGUAUUCUGUACGUAAUCAUAAUGUUGUCUAAUAAUUAGCAAGAACAUUUAAAACAAAACAUUCAGGAAACAUAAAGAUGUCAGGAUCAUGCUCAAAUACAUAUGAAAUAAAAUAUAGGAUCCAGUCCUGAGGUCUUUAUGGCCUUUUUUUAAAAAUGCAAAAAUCUCAGUGAAGUUUCUUCUGUUAUGUCAGAAAAGGGCACUAUCAAAAAUCAAACUUCAUCCAUGCUUGUUUAUCACCAAUUUUUUUAUUUACCUUUUUUUUUUUUUUAAGUGGAGAAAUAUAUCAUAUAUUUUCCUUCCGGUUCUUGUGUACUGUAAUAAUAUUAUUUAGAAGUAUUCUAGUUCCUUCAUCUUUCUCAAAGUAAUUCGUAAAGAUAAUGCUUUAAAACAUUGCUCCUCAGCUAGUUCAUCUAAUUCUUUUCAUAUAUAGAACUAGCAAAACAAGAUUUUUCAUAACUACAUACAUCUACAAAAUAUGUUAGAACAUAUUUCCAAUAGUUUCAAUGUCACAUCAGUUGAUGAUGUGUUUCAGGUUUCAGCAUAUUUUAAUUUUCACUGUUUUAUGUUCACUCAUUUAACAGAGGAAAGAGGCAAGAAUGUGCUGUCAGAACAUAUUAAUGUACUUCAUAAAGAUAUUAAGAUGAUGAAAAAGAUUAAGAUGGUGCCAGAAAGACUCUGCCACCAUCUGCAAAGCUACAAUAUUUACCAAGGGUAGUAGAGCAGUGCCUGCUUGUAGAGGUUGAAGCCACAGCAGUUUUGAAAGACGACGCUCAUCAAAACCAGGAGUGUUUUGAUAAAUAUUUAUUCUUAAGAGCUCGGUGGGGUUGCCUCUGGAGUUGUACUUCAUGGUACGUAAUGUUUAUGUCCUUUGGCUUAAGUUCUCUAAUAAGCUCUGGAGAGAGGUAAGUGUGUUGUUCACCCCCCACACCCUCCGCCCGUAACCUCUGUCCCUAACCGCCCCCCCCCCCCCCCCGCCAAAAAAAAAAAAAAGUCUCCUUAGACCCUCUAGAUCCAAUAAGGUUGGCGUGCAUAAGAAGGGAGGCUGGCAGUUUCCUUGAGCUGACCAUUAUUUCCUUAGGCAACUUCUCUUCUCUUAAACCUCACCUCAGAAGAUUGUGAAAAGUAGGUAUGAAUUGCCUGUAUUUCUUUAGGGAAGUGACUAGUGGGUCUCAGUGACUUUGAUGGUGUCAGCAAUGUCCAGUAGGCAGCUGACCACUAGAAAUCUCACUGAGCACAAGUGGUAUUUGCACUGUCUUUCUCCCACUGCCUUAAAAAGCAAAUUCUCUCCACAUCAAAAGUGUCUCUAUUGAGCAAUUGCUGUGUGUCAGCACUCUUCAGCCUUAAGUUGUUUGCUGGUUUCUGGAACAUGAAAAACACAAGAUGUCACAAAAUGAAAACAGUGUCUGUUUCCAUUCUGAUGAUUUAGGAAGCAAAGCAGGAAAAUAAAGCAAAUAUGUUCAAAAAAAAAAAAAAAAAA
RNAcentral lists this long non-coding RNA (1962 nucleotides) under Anas platyrhynchos platyrhynchos (common mallard). RNAcentral's name for it is "lncRNA (ENSAPLG00000028218.1)". Lineage: Eukaryota; Metazoa; Chordata; Aves; Anseriformes; Anatidae. The record is from RNAcentral.